RNAcentral lists this ribosomal RNA (1194 nucleotides) under Ramlibacter cellulosilyticus. RNAcentral's name for it is "Bacterial small subunit ribosomal RNA". It matches the Rfam family "Bacterial small subunit ribosomal RNA", at positions 1 to 1212 of the family's 1533-position model. The record is from Rfam by way of RNAcentral. Lineage: Bacteria; Pseudomonadati; Pseudomonadota; Betaproteobacteria; Burkholderiales; Comamonadaceae.
UCGACGGAGAGUUUGAUCCUGGCUCAGGACGAACGCUGGCGGCGUGCUUAACACAUGCAAGUCGAACGGUGAAGCCCUUCGGGGUGGAUCAGUGGCGAACGGGUGAGUAACACGUGAGCAACCUGCCCCUGGCUCUGGGACAACCACUGGAAACGGUGGCUAAUACCGGAUACGACCCGCCUCGGCAUCGAGUGUGGGUGGAAAGUUUUUCGGCUGGGGAUGGGCUCGCGGCCUAUCAGCUUGUUGGUGGGGUGAUGGCCUACCAAGGCGACGACGGGUAGCCGGCCUGAGAGGGCGACCGGCCACACUGGGACUGAGACACGGCCCAGACUCCUACGGGAGGCAGCAGUGGGGAAUAUUGCACAAUGGGCGAAAGCCUGAUGCAGCGACGCCGCGUGAGGGAUGACGGCCUUCGGGUUGUAAACCUCUUUCAGCUCCGAAGAAGCGCAAGUGACGGUAGGAGCAGAAGAAGCACCGGCUAACUACGUGCCAGCAGCCGCGGUAAUACGUAGGGUGCAAGCGUUGUCCGGAAUUAUUGGGCGUAAAGAGCUCGUAGGCGGUGUGUCGCGUCUGCUGUGAAAACUCAGGGCUCAACUCUGAGCUUGCAGUGGGUACGGGCACACUUGAGUGCUGUAGGGGAGACUGGAAUUCCUGGUGUAGCGGUGAAAUGCGCAGAUAUCAGGAGGAACACCGGUGGCGAAGGCGGGUCUCUGGGCAGUUACUGACGCUGAGGAGCGAAAGCAUGGGGAGCGAACAGGAUUAGAUACCCUGGUAGUCCAUGCCGUAAACGUUGGGCGCUAGGUGUGGGGUCCAUUCCACGGAUUCCGUGCCGCAGCUAACGCAUUAAGCGCCCCGCCUGGGGAGUACGGCCGCAAGGCUAAAACUCAAAGGAAUUGACGGGGGCCCGCACAAGCGGCGGAGCAUGCGGAUUAAUUCGAUGCAACGCGAAGAACCUUACCAAGGCUUGACAUGCGCGGUGGAAUCCCAGAGAUGGGGUGUCAUUUAGUUGGUCGCGUACAGGUGGUGCAUGGUUGUCGUCAGCUCGUGUCGUGAGAUGUUGGGUUAAGUCCCGCAACGAGCGCAACCCUCGUUCCAUGUUGCCAGCACGUAGGGUGGGGACUCAUGGGAGACUGCCGGGGUCAACUCGGAGGAAGGUGGGGAUGACGUCAAAUCAUCAUGCCCCUUAUGUCUUGG